Etheostoma spectabile (orangethroat darter) is the source of this 152-nucleotide long non-coding RNA. RefSeq lists it as uncharacterized. NCBI's taxonomy places the organism in Eukaryota, Metazoa, Chordata, Actinopteri, Perciformes, Percidae. The transcript has 4 exons. The record is from RefSeq and is a predicted model, not a curated record.
CUGAUGCACCUGUAGCGCCUUCCUGAGGGCAACAGGUCAAACAGAUCUGAGCCGGGGUGGGAGCUGUCCUUGAUGAUGUUCUCUGCUCUGCUGAAGCAGCGGGAGUUGUAGAUGUCCAUCAGGGAAAUCUCCUUUUAAUUCUUACUUUGGUU